Molecule: transfer RNA, 81 nt
Filed under: Clostridiales bacterium
Lineage: Bacteria; Bacillati; Bacillota; Clostridia; Eubacteriales
Description: tRNA-Ala
Rfam family: tRNA
About the family: Transfer RNA (tRNA) molecules are approximately 80 nucleotides in length. Their secondary structure includes four short double-helical elements and three loops (D, anti-codon, and T loops).
Source: RNAcentral
GGGGUGGCUUACCGUAUACUAUGGGAGAGCGCUUGAAUGGCAUUCAAGAGGUCAUCGGUUCGAUCCCGAUUAUCUCCACCA